Molecule: long non-coding RNA, 261 nt
Filed under: Physcomitrium patens
Lineage: Eukaryota; Viridiplantae; Streptophyta; Bryopsida; Funariales; Funariaceae
Description: long non-coding RNA (PPAT_LNC000920)
Source: RNAcentral
AAAAUGUGCUCGGGUAUUGGCCGGCCUCCUUCUCCAAUCUUAAUGCCAAUCUUCCAGAGCCAAUAUCUCUCCUUUGCACCUUUCGAUUGAUCUCAAAAUUCUCAUACGCAUAGAAAAACAAGUCUUAUAUUCUCUCACAUAAGUUUCAUUCCAAUCCAACUAAUAGAUUGCAAGAAAUCUCAAAAACCUCCACUGGACCUAAAAUUCUACUUUUUGAGACCUUGACCCUUUUAAACCUCAAUAUUCCUCACUUCAACCGUU